This 440-nucleotide ribosomal RNA is filed under the name uncultured bacterium. Its description in RNAcentral is "bacterial SSU rRNA". It matches the Rfam family "Bacterial small subunit ribosomal RNA", at positions 338 to 775 of the family's 1533-position model. The record is from RNAcentral.
CCUACGGGUGGCAGCAGUGAGGAAUAUUGGUCAAUGGAGGCAACUCUGAACCAGCCAUGCCGCGUGAAGGAUGACGGCCCUAUGGGUUGUAAACUUCUUUUAUAUGGGAAGAAACUUAUCUACGUGUAGAUAACUGACGGUACCAUACGAAUAAGGAUCGGCUAACUCCGUGCCAGCAGCCGCGGUAAUACGGAGGAUCCAAGCGUUAUCCGGAUUCAUUGGGUUUAAAGGGUCCGUAGGCGGAUUUUUAAGUCAGUGGUGAAAGCCGACAGCUCAACUGUCGAACUGCCAUUGAUACUGGAAAUCUUGAGUACAAAUGAAGUAGGCGGAAUGAGUCAUGUAGCGGUGAAAUGCAUAGAUAUGACUCAGAACACCAAUUGCGAAGGCAGCUUACUAACAUGUAACUGACGCUGAGGGACGAAAGCGUGGGGAGCGAACAG